CCUGCUGUACGACCGUAGCCUAGGAGGACAUGCGUCCUGGUAAAGGUGAGGUGUGAAGCUCCUCUGACAACGUAGCCCCUGAUGUACGGGCGAGUAUCCAUUGUGAAAUGGCCAUUCGGAGACUCCUAGCAGCAAGGGGGGGUCAAGGCG
This is a non-coding RNA of Candidatus Burkholderia pumila, 150 nucleotides long. The record is from Rfam. NCBI's taxonomy places the organism in Bacteria, Pseudomonadati, Pseudomonadota, Betaproteobacteria, Burkholderiales, Burkholderiaceae.